This 399-nucleotide long non-coding RNA is filed under the name Rattus norvegicus (Norway rat). RNAcentral's name for it is "long non-coding RNA NONRATT004861". Lineage: Eukaryota; Metazoa; Chordata; Mammalia; Rodentia; Muridae. The record is from RNAcentral.
CAGAGACCCCAGCUGGUAAGCCGGCUCUUCAGGUACCCAGUUCUCGAGCUGCUGCUCCAAGGCCUCCGGUGUCUGCAGCUAGUGGGCGACCUCACGAUGAUAGCGACAGCAGCCGAGCCUCCCUCCCAGAACUGCCCCGGAUGCAGAGACCCUCUUUACCGGACCUCUCUCGGCCUAACACCACCAGUGGCACCGGAAUGAAGCACAGCUCCUCUGCACCUCCCCCGCCCCCUCCAGGCCGGCGUGCCAACGCGCCCCCUACCCCUCUUCCUCUGCACAGCAACAAAGCCCAAGCCUACAACAGGGAGAAGCCGUUGCCUCCAACACCUGGGCAGAGGGUGCACCCGGGUCGAGAAGGACAUCCUGCUCCACCCCCUGUAAAGCCGCCUCCUUCCCCUG